GGUAAGUUCCGACCCGCACGAAAGGCGUAACGAUUUGGGCACUGUCUCAACGAGAGACUCGGUGAAAUCAUAGUACCUGUGAAGAUGCAGGUUACCCGCGACAGGACGGAAAGACCCCGUGGAGCUUUACUGUAGCCUGAUAUUGAAAUUCGGCACAGCUUGUACAGGAUAGGUAGGAGCCUUUGAAACGUGAGCGCUAGCUUACGUGGAGGCGCUGGUGGGAUACUACCCUAGCUGUGUUGGCUUUCUAACCCGCACCACUUAUCGUGGUGGGAGACAGUGUCAGGCGGGCAGUUUGACUGGGGCGGUCGCCUCCUAAAAGGUAACGGAGGCGCUCAAAGGUUCCCUCAGAAUGGUUGGAAAUCAUUCAUAGAGUGUAAAGGCAUAAGGGAGCUUGACUGCGAGACCUACAAGUCGAGCAGGGUCGAAAGACGGACUUAGUGAUCCGGUGGUUCCGCAUGGAAGGGCCAUCGCUCAACGGAUAAAAGCUACCCCGGGGAUAACAGGCUUAUCUCCCCCAAGAGUUCACAUCGACGGGGAGGUUUGGCACCUCGAUGUCGGCUCAUCGCAUCCUGGGGCUGUAGUCGGUCCCAAGGGUUGGGCUGUUCGCCCAUUAAAGCGGUACGCGAGCUGGGUUCAGAACGUCGUGAGACAGUUCGGUCCCUAUCCGUCGUGGGCGUAGGAAAUUUGAGAGGAGCUGUCCUUAGUACGAGAGGACCGGGAUGGACAUACCUCUGGUGUACCAGUUGUCGUGCCAACGGCAUAGCUGGGUAGCUAUGUGUGGACGGGAUAAGUGCUGAAAGCAUCUAAGCAUGAAGCCCCCCUCAAGAUGAGAUUUCCCAACUUCGGUUAUAAGAUCCCUCAAAGAUGAUGAGGUUAAUAGGUUCGAGGUGGAAGCAUGGUGACAUGUGGAGCUGACGAAUACUAAUCGAUCGAAGACUUAAUCAA
This 948-nucleotide ribosomal RNA is filed under the name Staphylococcus aureus. RNAcentral's name for it is "partial 23S ribosomal RNA". It matches the Rfam family "Bacterial large subunit ribosomal RNA", at positions 1975 to 2925 of the family's 2925-position model. The record is from RNAcentral. Lineage: Bacteria; Bacillati; Bacillota; Bacilli; Caryophanales; Staphylococcaceae.